UACGUAGGCAGCGAGCGUUGUUCGGAGUUACUGGGCGUAAAGAGUGCGUAGGCGGUUUUCUAAGUUUGGUGUGAAAUCUCCCGGCUUAACUGGGAGGGUGCGCCGAAACUGGAAGCUUGAGUAGUGGGAGAGGUGAAGCGGAAGUUCCGUGGAUGGUAGCGGUGAAAUGCGUAGAUAUCGAGGAGGAACACCGUGCGGUGUAGACGGCUUACGUGGACCAUAACUGACGCUGGAGGUGACGAAAGCGUGGGGAGCAAACAGG
RNAcentral lists this ribosomal RNA (262 nucleotides) under uncultured bacterium. Its description in RNAcentral is "partial 16S ribosomal RNA". It matches the Rfam family "Bacterial small subunit ribosomal RNA", at positions 524 to 776 of the family's 1533-position model. The record is from RNAcentral.